AUACGGAGGAUCCGAGCGUUAUCCGGAUUUAUUGGGUUUAAAGGGUGCGUAGGUGGUUUGAUAAGUCAGCGGUGAAAGUUUGCAGCUUAACUGUAAAAAUGCCGUUGAAACUGUCGGACUUGGGUGUAACUGAGCUAGUCGGAAUUCGUGGUGUAGCGGUGAAAUGCAUAGAUAUCACGCAGAACUCCGAUUGCGAAGGCAGCUUACUAAGCUACAACUGACACUGAAGCACGAAAGCGUGGGGAUCAAACAGGAUUAGAUACCCUGGUAGUCCACGCAGUAAACGAUGAUUACUAGCUGUUUGCGAUACACAGUAAGCGGCACUGCGAAAGCGUUAAGUAAUCCACCUGGGGAGUACGCCGGCAACGGUGAAACUCAAAUGAAUUGACGGGG
This 393-nucleotide ribosomal RNA is filed under the name uncultured bacterium. RNAcentral describes it as "partial 16S ribosomal RNA". It matches the Rfam family "Bacterial small subunit ribosomal RNA", at positions 523 to 918 of the family's 1533-position model. The record is from RNAcentral.